GACGAACGCUGGCGGCGUGCUUAACACAUGCAAGUCGAACGCUGAAGCUUGGUGCUUGCCCUGGGUGGAUGAGUGGCGAACGGGUGAGUAAUACGUGAGUAACCUGCCCUGGACUCUGGGAUAAGCCUGGGAAACUGGGUCCAAUACUGGAUAUGACAUGCCACAGCAUGGGGGUGGGUGGAAAGGGCUUUACUGGUUUUGGAUGGGCGCACGGGCUAUCAGCUUGUUGGGGGGGAAAGGGCCGACCAAGGCGACGACGGGUAGCCGGCCUGAGAGGGGGGACGGCGACACUGGGACUGAGAGACGGCGCAGACUCCUACGGGAGGCAGCAGUGGGGAAUAUUGUGCAAUGGGGGGAAGCCUGAGGCAGCGACGCCGCGUGAGGGAUGACGGCCUUCGGGUUGUAAACCUCUUUCAGCACGGAAGAAGCGAGAGUGACGGUACGUGCAGAAGAAGCGCCGGCUAACUACGUG
Molecule: ribosomal RNA, 472 nt
Filed under: uncultured bacterium
Lineage: Bacteria
Description: partial 16S ribosomal RNA
Rfam family: Bacterial small subunit ribosomal RNA
Source: RNAcentral